Molecule: ribosomal RNA, 497 nt
Filed under: uncultured bacterium
Lineage: Bacteria
Description: partial 16S ribosomal RNA
Rfam family: Bacterial small subunit ribosomal RNA
Source: RNAcentral
ACUCAAAGGAAUUGACGGGGGUCCGCACAAGCGGUGGAGUAUGUGGUUUAAUUCGAUACUACGCGAGGAACCUUACCUGGGCUAGAAUGUAUUUUGCUACUUUGAGAAAUUGAGGGUUCCUUCGGGACGGAAUACAAGGUGCUGCAUGGCUGUCGUCAGCUCGUGCCGUGAGGUGUUGGGUUAAGUCCUAUAACGAGCGAAACCCUUUUACUUAAUUGCCAGCACGUAAUGGUGGGGACUUUAAGUAGACUGCCCGUGUAAGCGGGAGGAAGGAGAGGAUGAGGUCAAGUCAUCAUGGCCUUUAUGCCCAGGGCUACACACGUACUACAAUGGCAUGUACAGAGGGAAGCUACUUGGUAACAGGAUGCAAAUCUCAAAAGCAUGUCUCAGUUCGGAUUGAGGUCUGCAACUCGACCUCAUGAAGUUGGAAUCGCUAGUAAUCGCGUAUCAGCAAUGACGCGGUGAAUACGUUCUCGGACCUUGUACACACCGCCCGU